GAUGAACGCUGGCGGCGUGCCUAAUACAUGCAAGUCGAGCGAACAGACGAGGAGCUUGCUCCUCUGACGUUAGCGGCGGACGGGUGAGUAACACGUGGAUAACCUACCUAUAAGACUGGGAUAACUUCGGGAAACCGGAGCUAAUACCGGAUAAUAUAUUGAACCGCAUGGUUCAAUAGUGAAAGACGGUUUUGCUGUCACUUAUAGAUGGAUCCGCGCCGCAUUAGCUAGUUGGUAAGGUAACGGCUUACCAAGGCAACGAUGCGUAGCCGACCUGAGAGGGUGAUCGGCCACACUGGAACUGAGGCACAGUCCAGACUCCUACGGGAGGCAGCAGUAGGGAAUCUUCCGCAAUGGGCGAAAGCCUGACGGAGCAACGCCGCGUGAGUGAUGAAGGUCUUCGGAUCGUAAAACUCUGUUAUUAGGGAAGAACAAAUGUGUAAGUAACUAUGCACGUCUUGACGGUACCUAAUCAGAAAGCCACGGCUAACUACGUG
Molecule: ribosomal RNA, 497 nt
Filed under: uncultured bacterium
Lineage: Bacteria
Description: partial 16S ribosomal RNA
Rfam family: Bacterial small subunit ribosomal RNA
Source: RNAcentral